Molecule: ribosomal RNA, 493 nt
Filed under: uncultured bacterium
Lineage: Bacteria
Description: partial 16S ribosomal RNA
Rfam family: Bacterial small subunit ribosomal RNA
Source: RNAcentral
GACGAACGCUGGCGGCGCGCUUAACACAUGCAAGUCGAACGGAAAGGCCUGCUUUCCCUUGUGGAUUGCGGGUACUCGAGUGGCGAACGGGUGAGUAACACGUGAGUGAUCUGCCCCAACUUGGGUAUAAGCCUGGGAAACUGGGUCUAAUUCCCGAUAGGACUGCAGGGUGGUGCCUGUGGUGGAAAACGAUUUUCUAGUGGUUGGGGAUGAGCUCGCGGCCCAUCAGCUUGUUGGUGGGGUAAUGGCCUACCAAGGCGGCGACGGGUAGCCGGCCUGAGAGGGUGGACGGCCACAUUGGGACUGAGAUACGGCCCAGACUCCUACGGGAGGCAGCAGUGGGGAAUAUUGCACAAUGGGCGGAAGCCUGAUGCAGCGACGCCGCGUGGGGGAUGACGGCCUUCGGGUUGUAAACUCCUUUCGACCGCGAGGAAGCCACCUGGUUGGAAGGGUGGUGACGGUAGUGGUAGAAGAAGCACCGGCUAACUACGUG